AACGCACAUUGCGCCCUGUGGUAUUCCACAGGGCAUGCCUGUUUGAGCGUCAUUUCCCUCUUAAACUGCAAGGUUUAGUGUUGGGCCAGGCUGCGGCCGGCCUGAAAUAGCGAGGGGUGUGUAUAUAUAUCUCUGAGAUAAUGUCUAGGUUCUGCCAACUCAUUACGAAGAGAGACAAUACGUCUGAGCACCUUUUACUAAAUUACCAAAAUUGACCUCAAAUCAGGUAGGACUACCCGCUGAACUUAA
This 249-nucleotide unclassified non-coding RNA is filed under the name uncultured Barnettozyma. RNAcentral's name for it is "sequence contains ITS2". The stretch from base 1 to 52 matches the Rfam family "5.8S ribosomal RNA", at positions 103 to 154 of the family's 154-position model. The record is from RNAcentral. Lineage: Eukaryota; Fungi; Ascomycota; Saccharomycetes; Phaffomycetales; Phaffomycetaceae.